AAUAGAUACCCUGGUAGUCCAUGCCGUAAACGUUGGGCGCCAGGUGUGGGGCUCUUUCCACGAGUUCCGUGCCGCAGCAAACGCAUUAAGCGCCCCCGCCUGGGGAGUACGGCCGCAAGGCUAAAACUCAAAGGAAUUGACGGGGGCCCGCACAAGCGGCGGAGCAUGCGGAUUAAUUCGAUGCAACGCGAAGAACCUUACCAAGGCUUGACAUGGGGCGAAAACUGUUAGAGAUAGCAGGUCCGCAAGGGCGCCUCACAGGUGGUGCAUGGUUGUCGUCAGCUCGUGUCGUGAGAUGUUGGGUUAAGUCCCGCAACGAGCGCAACCCUCGUUCUAUGUUGCCAGCACGUUAUGGUGGGGACUCAUAGGAGACUGCCGGGGUCAACUCGGAGGAAGGUGGGGAUGACGUCAAAUCAUCAUGCCCCUUAUGUCUUGGGUCUUCACGCAUGCUACAAUGGCCAGUACAAAGGGCUGCGAGACCGUAAGGUGGAGCGAAUACCCAAAAGCUGGUCUCAGUUCGGAGUCGGGGU
Molecule: ribosomal RNA, 530 nt
Filed under: uncultured bacterium
Lineage: Bacteria
Description: bacterial SSU rRNA
Rfam family: Bacterial small subunit ribosomal RNA
Source: RNAcentral